Molecule: ribosomal RNA, 254 nt
Filed under: uncultured bacterium
Lineage: Bacteria
Description: partial 16S ribosomal RNA
Rfam family: Bacterial small subunit ribosomal RNA
Source: RNAcentral
UACGUAGGGUGCGAGCGUUGUCCGGAAUUAUUGGGCGUAAAGAGCUCGUAGGCGGUGUGUCGCGUCGGUCGUGAAAACUUGGGGCUUAACUCUGAGCUUGCGGUCGAUACGGGCAUCACUGGAGUUCGGCAGGGGAGACUGGAAUUCCUGGUGUAGCGGUGAAAUGCGCAGAUAUCAGGAGGAACACCGAUGGCGAAGGCAGCUCGCUGGGACGGUACUGACGCUGAGGCGCGAAAGCGUGGGGAGCAAACAGG